RNAcentral lists this ribosomal RNA (460 nucleotides) under uncultured bacterium. Its description in RNAcentral is "partial 16S ribosomal RNA". It matches the Rfam family "Bacterial small subunit ribosomal RNA", at positions 338 to 795 of the family's 1533-position model. The record is from RNAcentral.
CCUACGGGUGGCAGCAGUGAGGAAUAUUGGUCAAUGGGCGCAAGCCUGAACCAGCCAAGUCGCGUGAGGGAGGACGGCCCUACGGGUUGUAAACCUCUUUUGCCGGGGAGCAACGGCCGCCACGUGUGGCGUCACUGAGAGUACCCGGAGAAAAAGCAUCGGCUAACUCCGUGCCAGCAGCCGCGGUAAUACGGAGGAUGCGAGCGUUAUCCGGAUUUAUUGGGUUUAAAGGGUGCGUAGGCGGAUCGUUAAGUCAGUGGUCAAAUUGAGGGGCUCAACCCCUUCCAGCCAUUGAAACUGGCGGUCUUGAGUGGUAGAGAGGUAUGCGGAAUGCGUGGUGUAGCGGUGAAAUGCAUAGAUAUUGCGCAGAACCCCGAUUGCGAAGGCAGCAUGCCGGCUGCCGACUGACGCUGAGGCACGAAAGCGUGGGGAUCGAACAGGAUUAGAUACCCGAGUAGUC